Molecule: transfer RNA, 84 nt
Filed under: Nannocystis sp.
Lineage: Bacteria; Pseudomonadati; Myxococcota; Nannocystales; Nannocystaceae
Description: tRNA-Leu
Rfam family: tRNA
About the family: Transfer RNA (tRNA) molecules are approximately 80 nucleotides in length. Their secondary structure includes four short double-helical elements and three loops (D, anti-codon, and T loops). Further hydrogen bonds mediate the characteristic L-shaped molecular structure. tRNAs have two regions of fundamental functional importance: the anti-codon, which is responsible for specific mRNA codon recognition, and the 3' end, to which the tRNAs corresponding amino acid is attached (by aminoacyl-tRNA synthetases). tRNAs cope with the degeneracy of the genetic code in two manners: having more than one tRNA (with a specific anti-codon) for a particular amino acid; and 'wobble' base-pairing, i.e. permitting non-standard base-pairing at the 3rd anti-codon position.
Source: RNAcentral
GCGCAGGUGCUGGAAUUGGUAGACAACCGGGCCUCAGAAGCCCGGGCCCGCGAGGGCGUGAGGGUUCGAGCCCCUCCCUGCGCA